CUGAUGCAGCCGAGGCUUCUAUGUGCUUGCCUGCAGCGUUUGACCUCUUGCACGUUGGCUAACUACCAUGAAAAGAGCGAGCCCCAAGCAACCACUGGUGUCAGAACAAGAGACCUCAACCCGACCUGCCACUUGGAGGAGAGCCGCCUCAGCCAGCUCACACACCGGAAAAACAUUAUUAAAAAUAAUCCCUGAGAGGCAGUAGAGGAUAAUGGUUAAGAAGACAGAGUGCCUGAGUUCAAAGCCUGACCCUUCCACUUACUAGGUGAGUGCCCUUGGGGAAAUGAUUUAAUAUCCCUGGGUCUUAGUUCACACUUAUACA
This 322-nucleotide long non-coding RNA is filed under the name Vulpes vulpes (red fox). RNAcentral describes it as "lncRNA (ENSVVUG00000000386.1)". The record is from RNAcentral. Lineage: Eukaryota; Metazoa; Chordata; Mammalia; Carnivora; Canidae.